GCACGGGGCAAACCACACUGGGGUUUGGUUUAUUCCUGCCGGCAGACUGCCCGUGUCCCCGUGCGAGCUCGGCAGACGCUACGGUGAAGCUGCUGGCAUUGAACUCGGGGAAUGGUCUGUUUAUCUUGGUGCCAAGGUUUGGACAGCUUGGCUUAAAUGACUGAUCUGAGGCCGCUCAUAAAUUGGCUUGAGGAGAUGUAUCUGCUUUGAAAUGAAAGAACUGAUUUUUUCUAAUUCUGGGAGGCAGUUAAGUAUCUACCUACAGAGUUAAGAUCUUUGGGAAAAAGACUUCCCCUCUUUGUGCACACUGCCUUACACAGCAACGCUCCUAGCAACGCUCCUAGCAACCGGGCAACAUCUGCUCCCGCUGGACCAAUCCGCGCCGGGAACAUCUGGGCACCCACCUCCGCGGGCUGCGGCCGGGAGGUGAUGCGCUCCUCAGUGGCUGCAGGGACCCGCAGGAGCUGCCACCACCACCACCACCUCCACCACCACCACCUCCUCCAGGAGCAGCAGACGGCUCCGAACGGCGAGGGAAGGACGGGGAGCAGCCCUCCCUCCGGAGCCGGGCCUCGCUGGGUAACCCUUCAGCAGUGCUGUGCUGCCAGAAAUGCUCGCUGAGCCCGUGCGAGGAGGAAUUCUUACCAGAACUGCUGAGAUUAUCCCAGAAAGACCCUUUGCAGAUUGACUCCGCAUCCUCAGAGCUGAUCUGAUCGGGGCCUACCAAAGACAUUAACGACGUCGAAAGUAGCCUACUUUAAGAGAAAAUAUGCAGAAGAAGAACAUUUACAUCAAGAUUACCAUGAGUAUUGUCCAAAACACCUGAUACUACCCGAGGACCGGACUUGUAUUCUAAAACUUUCUCUCCAGAAACUCCGAUUCCUGGACGACCCUGAAGCCUAUCUCCGUAGGUCUGUAUUAAUUAACAAUCUGUUGAGGAAGAUUCACCUAGAGACAGAGAGGGAGAGCUAUGAAUACUUUAAGGAGGCUCCGUGUUAUAGGACUGCUUACUCUGACGCACGAAAACGGCUGAAGUUUAUGGUACAGGAGUGCUGUUCCCAGUCGCUCUAUUAUGAAGAGCUGCAUUCGUAUCGCAUUGUGCCUUACUCUGCAGAGAACGCCGUUUACGGAAUGGGCUACACAAGCAGCCACUUGGAGCAAAAUUCUCAAUUGCUUAUUUAUAAAAUGAAUUAAAGUAGCUGUUAGACCCAUUGAUGUUUGUUUCUGAAUGCUUGAACUGCUUAUUGGGAAGUUAAGAUGAGGCACUAGUUGCAGAUAUACUUGUGAUGGAAGGCGGAUGCGUUCAGAGCUGAGCGGGAGAUACUUUGAAUAACGCUCUGCAGCCCCCGCUGUUAACCCCCUGGUUACGGAGUUCCUUGACAUACACACAGAGCUGGUGCGAUACGGAGGGCUUUAUCCGCAGAGACUGCGCGCAAUGUGUUUUGUAGAAACAAAGCUGCAUUUAAGUUACCUGUGUGUAGAUACAGACAUUCAAAAAUCACUUUACAGUUAAAUUAUGCCAUCCCCGGUGGAAGGGGAGCCCCCAAAGCAGUGGAGUAGUCCAACAGUGAGGAGUAAAAUGCAAGUUAUUUACUGUAAAGGUGAAUAGAUAGAAAGUUUCUUUGAGAAAUGCUUUGACCAUGAAGGAGUCAGUGCCAAAGGAAACAGCCUUUUGCUUAGGAUUUUCAGAGACUUAACUCACUUGCUACUUACAAGACACUCUGUACUGAGAUUUGCAAGUUGUUUUUUUUUUUUUUUUUAAAUAAUUGCAUUCACCUUUUACUUAUAUUAUCUCUUAGCUGGUAUCUACUUUGCUAUUUUAAUACAAACCAGAAUGACACAGGAAAGACUGUUUCUUCAGCCCGCCAUCAGUGUUUCCUUAACUUCAUUUGAUCCUUUCCCUAGCUGUUUCCCUGAUACUUUUCUGCAUGCUAGUUUGCUGUUUGGCCAGAGGUUCACGCUGGUGCUAGGGAAUAGACAGUAACUUUUUGUUUAAUGUGGACUAUAAAAGGCAGAAAAACAAUGAUAACUGUCAUAGAUAGAGAAUGAAUGUAUCUGACAGAUGCCAGUAAAACCUCAGAGGUUCUCCUGAUGAAACUACUCAGCAUUAGUAAUAGUGUUUCAGGUUAAGUGAAAUGUCUAAUUUCAAUCUGGGAAUUAACCUUAGAAUAUGUAAAUAUAUAUUUCACAAGCUAUGACAUGAGAGACGUUCAGCAAAUUGAUGACAAAUGGAAAGUUUUAUAGCUGCCAAAGCUAUAUCAUGAAAAUACCAAAGAGUAAUAUAAGGGAAAAGAUGAUGCUCCAGCAAUGGGGUCAAAAGCAAAGAUUGCACUAUAACCUGGGGAAAUGUGAUUAAUGAGCCUGUAAACUAUCCGUUACUGAUACACCUGCAGUUCACCUGCGGGUGACUUGCAUCCCAAUUGCUGAACAAACAUACGAGAUGAUCCAAAGCCUGUCAAAGUCCGGCAGGUCUGUUGGCUUACAGUGAAGAAACCAGCUUUGCCUCGCUGGCUGUCACCACUUUAAAGCUUUAAAGCAAAGUAAAUAAUAGCACACACUCAGCUGGAGGCAGAUACGUAUCUAAGAAUCUAAUUUUUUAUUUUGAAAGACUUUGCUCAUGCAGAUGUGGCUGAUGCUAUUUCCGAAGCAUAAUACAGUACGAACAAAUACCAUUGCUUGCCAGGGACGUGCUUCAUGUAGGAUUCCUCUUGUAACCCUGUUCAGAGCAUCCUAGUCGUGCGUGUUGCACGUAUCAUCGCAGCGCUCAGGCACGUGUUAAUAGUUCAGGAGAAAAGACAGAAAGGCAAGAGCUGGAGGUGUGAAGAGCAAAGUUAACUCUGAUAUCAGUAGUUAGAAGCCAGUACAGGUUUAGGAGACAGAAGAAAACAGUGGAAUCCAGAUUUUAUUUUUUUUUAAUGUAAAAAAAAAAAAAAGGCAACAGUCUAAUUCAAAACAAGGAUAACCUGCAAACUGGAGAACAUAAACAGUACAGAUAUUGUGGGAAGGCUGGAGAAACAGGACAGUGCUGUUUGGGAGGUGCUAUUAGUCAUGAUGAAUGUUCAGGUUUUUGUUUUUAUUUUGAGACAACGCAUAUUUGCUUGUCUGUUACAAAAGGGUGUCUUUAAGCCCUUGGUCAGUGUAAUUCGGUGUCAGAGCUGCUUGGCGAUGUGCGAUUAUAUUCCUGCUACCCCUGGGCUUGCACCAGCCCAAAAUGAUGUGAAUUAAGCCCACAUUUGGUGUAGUUUGAAAAAUAUCCAGCUAAAAGUGGCCGUGCCCAUCUCGACAGGGGCCGGCUGAGAAAGGCCAGGCUAAUUGUCAGGCGUGUGGAACAGCCCUAACACCACCAGUAAAAGCUGGCAGCGAAACCCGUCCGCUGCGUGGGAUGCGGGCUGAUGCUGUGACGGCUGUUGUGAGAGGUGCCAUUAUCCUCCAAAGCGCUCUCUGGCCUCUGCUGCCGCCUCGCACGCCUCCUGCGAACCCAGCGGCUGGGGCAGGGGCGUUAGAAGGCUGCUAGGUGGUAAAGGAAAAUUACUUCUGUCUUCUGAUUUUUCAGACUGUGUAAUUUUCCGCUCUGAAGUGAUCUGAUUACGCUUUUUUUCCCCUUCGUGUCUGUUUUCGCCUGAAUUCAUAAUAUUUUAGCAGCUACGUGAAAUGCUAAAAUGCUUUUUUUUCUCUCACUGACCUACUUUUUUAUAUUCAGAGGAUGGUUUUGGCCUGAAAAAACAAAACUUUUUAUGUAAAAUUAAUAAUGUUUCAGUGGAAUGAAAAAGCUCAGUAGGAUUAAAGCCUUUAACCUCACCUGAAAAGACCCAUUGCCCCUGUUGGAUUCAUCUUUGAUGAGUAACUUGCUUGGUGGCUGGAAGGGGCAGAUGCUUUCUUGCUCAUUUAAAGCUUCUCUGAAAAGGUGUUAAUGAUAACUGAACAGAUAGACAAAAAUCUGGAUUAGAUAACAAAACUCCUUGGGCUACCUGUGAAAGAGGAUGAUAUUUUACUCAUGGUUUUUCUCAUGUGUUGUUUUCUUGAACAAAAAUCAUUGUCUAAUUUUUUAUUUCUACUUGCUCUAGGAGCUGUUAAAAUGGAUUAUUUCUUUCUAGAAAACAAAUCGGUUUUUCAUGCUUGACUUUUUGAUAUGAAAUUGAAUCAAAAGUCCACAAUUCUAAAUAUUUUAAGUCUGCUCAAGUUUUUACUGCCUUCCGCUUUGUGCAGUGAUUUGUGCAGCUGAAAAGUGGGUCUGAAAUAUUCUACUGUAGUGCUUGAAAAACAUAGUUUAUGGGGUGAUAAAGAAGUACAAAUGUGCAAUAACGUUGCAAGUUACUCCCGAAACAUUUAAUUUGACACUUUUUUAAUUAUAUACUGAUUUUAACAUUAAGUUACUGGGUACCAGCAUUUUAGUACAGCUACAUACAGUGAUUUUUCUUUUUUAGGUUUGUAGCUAUAAUUCAGUUCUUCUGGCUUCUGAUGUGUGAAUCUGUCUGUAGGUGGUCAACUUUCAGUGAUAUAUAUAUAUAUAUAUUCUAUUACGACUGCAGUAGGAACUCCCACAUAUGGGCUAUGUUUGCACUGGAUGUAAAGAAAGUCCUUCCUUCCCUUUGACUCAGUUGCCUUGGAGACAGUAUAUUCAUCAGAGAGAAUAUAGACAAGCUGGGUGACAUGGACAGAGUUGGUAACGGUAGCUGAUCAUUUGGAAAAUGACUGGCUUAGGACAGUUCAUUUUUGUCUCGGAAUGGCAGCACACUUGACUGUAACUAGUGUUUAAAUGAGUUAAGUUUUCUUUGUGCCGCUUUUCCCUAACUGGCUGUAAAUGCCGGGCCUGAUCCUGGAUGCAGAAGGGGCGGUGGUGGCUCUGCGGGAGGCACGGUGUGGGGGUGUGCGUGGGGGUCAGCUUUUGGAGCUGCAGGGCCUGUGGCUGACGGCGAGGGGGGGGGUCACACGCCGGGAGGCAGCCGGGCUCAGCGGGGCAGCACCUCUGCCUGCACGACCUGGUGCAGGCACCCCAAAAUAUUAGGGCGCUGAUCCUGUAAAUGCUUCAGGUAUCAUCGAAGUUUCUUUGCACAGAUCCUCUCGCUGAAGCCGGAGAGGCUCCUCGUGUACUUGCCGCUCAGCACGGGUAUGAGCGUGCGCAGGGCCGGGGCUGCUGUGCGCUGCAGAAGUACUCCUCCAUUGCCUAAUUAACGGUGAAAGUGAUUAUAGAGCUGCCGCUUGAGUUCUUGAAUACGUUUAUAUUGCACUGUAAAUUGAACUUUUGUUUUCAAUGAAUGUGUUGAGUAUAUGGACUAUUGUGCCUUAAAGUCACAUCCUCAUAUGAGCCUUUGUAUAUGUUCUGUAAAUCUGCAAACCGUGUAUAGCUGAUACCUCUGUGCACUCUAUACAGAUCCAGUUCGAUACUCGGCAGGGCCUUGGGAAACACGACCCUGACCUCAGUUUGCAAUGAAAACAGAGGGGAUACGGCAAUUCACUCUUCUCUUCUUUUUUAGAUUGCUUUCCUCUUCGCCGUUCAUGAAAUUCUGUUUUUCUGGUUUCUGUUGUAACUGGGUUCUGGGUUACCUACAAUGCCAGACGCCCCUCACGGGAACUCAGAAAGUUGUAAAAAUAGUUGUCUCCAGCUUUUAAACGCCAUCUGUACAGCGCGCUCUCAGCAGGGAAUCACAAUUGCGUAUAAUAACUGUGGCAGGUGUUGUCAAGUAUAUCAUCAUAUAUUUGACAUGAUUAACAAAGCAGAAAAGGGAACACCUAUUUCUAUUGAAAUGCAUGAGCCUGCAUUAUGUUAAAUACAUGGUGAUUAUACACCACUUAAUUGGAAUAAUACCUACUGGUUCUAUAACAAAAAACGGCUUUUUAAUGUUUAAAAUUACUUGGGACCUGAUUAAAGGUUUUUAUGAAAUUGUUUUCUAAAGUGAAUAGUAGAAAAAUGUAUAUGUAUUUUAAAUAUACAUAUGAUGUGCAUGUUACUAAUAAAGAUCUAUUUCUAU
Grus americana (Whooping crane) is the source of this 5969-nucleotide long non-coding RNA. RefSeq lists it as uncharacterized. The record is from RefSeq and is a predicted model, not a curated record. The transcript is spliced from 7 exons. Lineage: Eukaryota; Metazoa; Chordata; Aves; Gruiformes; Gruidae.